This 124-nucleotide ribosomal RNA is filed under the name Jaculus jaculus (lesser Egyptian jerboa). Lineage: Eukaryota; Metazoa; Chordata; Mammalia; Rodentia; Dipodidae. The record is from RNAcentral.
GUCUACAUCCAAACCAUCCUGAAUGUUCCUGAUCUCAUGUGCUCAGAAGCUAAGCAAGGUCAGGCCUAUUUAGUACUUGGAUGGGAGAAGACCAAUCUCAUAAAAGAAAAGGAAAGUGAAGACU